Molecule: unclassified non-coding RNA, 203 nt
Filed under: Hevea brasiliensis (rubber tree)
Lineage: Eukaryota; Viridiplantae; Streptophyta; Magnoliopsida; Malpighiales; Euphorbiaceae
Source: RNAcentral
GUUUGAGUUGAUAACUGAUUUGAUUGCUUCCCAAGACAUUUAGCGAAAAGCAGCCUCCAUUUACAAAACAAGACAUAAAAUUACGAUCACUUCUAAUCCCUUGGAAUCACAAAUUCUUAACACAGCUCAAAACACCAACUCAAAGUUUUUACACACGGCUGAAUGCAGCAUAAUUAAAACAUACAUAACUCACCCAAAAUUUA